This 199-nucleotide long non-coding RNA is filed under the name Elaeis guineensis (African oil palm). RNAcentral describes it as "long non-coding RNA (EGUI_LNC045190)". The record is from RNAcentral. Lineage: Eukaryota; Viridiplantae; Streptophyta; Magnoliopsida; Arecales; Arecaceae.
ACCUUAGCACACAAUCUAAUUGUUAUGCUAUAAUAGUUAGAGGUCCUCCCUAUUUAUGGAUGAUUCUCUAUGACCUAUAAGACUAGAAUUUUUAAUUCAAGCAGGCUUUGAAUUAAUCCAUAACUUAUCAAAGAAAGAGUCCUAAAGGAGAAAAGAUUUGUGUCUAAAAAGGCGCCCUCAUGCACCCACGCCUACACCC